This 565-nucleotide long non-coding RNA is filed under the name Nicotiana benthamiana. RNAcentral describes it as "long non-coding RNA (NBEN_LNC014160)". The record is from RNAcentral. Lineage: Eukaryota; Viridiplantae; Streptophyta; Magnoliopsida; Solanales; Solanaceae.
CAUUCACAGAAGCUCAUUAUCAAAAUAUGUUGCUAUAUGAAAUUGCAAUAAUGUGUGUCGCUGCCCAAAUGAAAACACCUAUAGUUGUUUCCUUUCAAAUGGUUCUAGCAUCUGCUCCUGAUCAUUCUUUUUUCUUUUGAAGCUUAUUUAGCAACCAUUUCCAUGCCUCUAUUAAAUUUUUUGGCAGUUGCGCAUCACAGCCACCUCUAUGCUUCAAUCCACAAAUUUAAUGGUUUACCCACUUAUAACUUCAUUAAUAAUGAUAAACAUAUGCUCUGUAAUUCAAUCAUUACAGCUCCUUCUUCACCCCUUCAUUGCAGCCAUGGAUUUUCGUCUUCUGGAGGAAAAUUUGUUAAGAAUUAGUGAAAGAGAUACGUUGUUGGUCCUUACGACACUAUUGCCGCCGAAACAACAGGCGUUUCCCCACAUCCCUAGUUGUUCACAGGCCAUAUUUUUCCAACGUUACACACAAUUCUUUCUGGCGCUGUCAAGACUCUGAAUCGAUUUUUAAUUCCGACUCGUCUGCUUUUUCCUCCUCCAAUAGAGACUUCAUUUUUGGUACUCC